AAAUACAUUAGAUAUAUAUGAGCAGUGUUAUUUCUUAUGUGCUAUACAAAUAAUUGAAGGCUAAUCAGCAGUAUAACUAUAAAUAGUAAUGCUAAGGCUGGGUGCAAUGGCUCACGC
RNAcentral lists this small nucleolar RNA (117 nucleotides) under Otolemur garnettii (small-eared galago). Lineage: Eukaryota; Metazoa; Chordata; Mammalia; Primates; Galagidae. The record is from RNAcentral.